AGUGAACGCUGGCGGUAGGCCUAACACAUGCAAGUCGAACGGCAGCACAGUAAGAGCUUGCUCUUACGGGUGGCGAGUGGCGGACGGGUGAGGAAUACAUCGGAAUCUACUUUUUCGUGGGGGAUAACGUAGGGAAACUUACGCUAAUACCGCAUACGACCUACGGGUGAAAGCAGGGGAUCUUCGGACCUUGCGCGAUUGAAUGAGCUGAUGUCGGAUUAGCUAGUUGGCGGGGUAAAGGCCCACCAAGGCGACGAUCCGUAGCUGGUCUGAGAGGAUGAUCAGCCACACUGGAACUGAGACACGGUCCAGACUCCUACGAGAGGCAGCAGUGGGGAAUAUUGGACAAUGGGCGCAAGCCUGAUCCAGCCAUACCGCGUGGGUGAAGAAGGCCUUCGGGUUAAAGCCCUUUUGUUGGGAAAGAAAAGCAGCAGGUUAAUACCCCGCUGUUCUGACGGUACCCAAAGAAUAAGCACCGGCUAACUUCGUG
This 490-nucleotide ribosomal RNA is filed under the name uncultured bacterium. RNAcentral's name for it is "partial 16S ribosomal RNA". It matches the Rfam family "Bacterial small subunit ribosomal RNA", at positions 29 to 507 of the family's 1533-position model. The record is from RNAcentral.